Molecule: non-coding RNA, 206 nt
Organism: Oryza barthii
Lineage: Eukaryota; Viridiplantae; Streptophyta; Magnoliopsida; Poales; Poaceae
Source: Rfam
AAAAAGACAAACCCUAGGUUUCCGUGCCAACGUUUGACAGUUCAUCAUAUAUGAAAUUUUUUUAUAAUUAGUAUUUUCAUUGUUGUUAGAUGAUAAAACAUGAUUAAUACUUUAUGCGUGACUUAUCUUUUUAAUUUUUUUUCAUAAUUUUUUCAAAUAAGACGGACGGUCAAAUGUUAGUUACAGAAACCAGGGUUUAUCUUUUU